UACAUAGCUUAAUGAGGGGAACUCAGGGAACUGAAACAUCUAAGUACCUGAAGGAAGAGAAAGAAAUUCGAUUCCGUAAGUAGCGGCGAGCGAACGCGGAUUAGCCCAAACCAAUAAAGUUUUCUUUAUUGGGGUUGCGGACAUAUCAUAACGAAGAGGUAUCGUAAUUGAAGAGGUUUGGAAAGACCCACCACAGAAGGUAAUAGUCCUGUAUGUUAAACGAGAAGACUUUAGAUAUGAUCCAGAGUACCACGGGACACGUGAAACCCUGUGGGAAGCAGGAGGGACCACCCUCCAAGGCUAAAUACUACCUAGUGACCGAUAGCGUAUAGUACCGUGAGGGAAAGGUGAAAAGAACCCCGGGAGGGGAGUGAAAUAGAACCUGAAACCCUGCACUUACAAGCUGUGGAAGCACAUUUCUUGUGUGACCGCGUACUUUUUGUAGAACGGGCCAACGAGUUACGUUAAGUAGCCAGGUUAAGCACUUAAGGUGCGGAGCCGUAGCGAAAGCGAGGUUUAACUGAGCGGUCAGUUACUUGACGUAGACCCGAAACCGGGCGACCUACCCAUGAGCAGGAUGAAGCGAAAGUAAAAUUUCGUGGAGGUCCGAACCCACGAGCG
RNAcentral lists this ribosomal RNA (621 nucleotides) under Clostridioides difficile. RNAcentral's name for it is "bacterial LSU rRNA". It matches the Rfam family "Bacterial large subunit ribosomal RNA", at positions 163 to 788 of the family's 2925-position model. Lineage: Bacteria; Bacillati; Bacillota; Clostridia; Peptostreptococcales; Peptostreptococcaceae. The record is from RNAcentral.